RNAcentral lists this ribosomal RNA (484 nucleotides) under uncultured bacterium. RNAcentral's name for it is "partial 16S ribosomal RNA". It matches the Rfam family "Bacterial small subunit ribosomal RNA", at positions 30 to 507 of the family's 1533-position model. The record is from RNAcentral.
AUUGAACGCUGGCGGCAGGCCUAACACAUGCAAGUCGAGCGGUUGAAGGGAGCUUGCUCCUGGAUUCAGCGGCGGACGGGUGAGUAAUGCCUAGGAAUCUGCCUGGUAGUGGGGGAUAACGUCCGGAAACGGGCGCUAAUACCGCAUACGUCCUGAGGGAGAAAGUGGGGGAUCUUCGGACCUCACGCUAUCAGAUGAGCCUAGGUCGGAUUAGCUAGUUGGUGGGGUAAAGGCCUACCAAGGCGACGAUCCGUAACUGGUCUGAGAGGAUGAUCAGUCACACUGGAACUGAGACACGGUCCAGACUCCUACGGGAGGCAGCAGUGGGGAAUAUUGGACAAUGGGCGAAAGCCUGAUCCAGCCAUGCCGCGUGUGUGAAGAAGGUCUUCGGAUUGUAAAGCACUUUAAGUUGGGAGGAAGGGCAGUAAGUUAAUACCUUGCUGUUCUGACGUUACCAACAGAAUAAGCACCGGCUAACUUCGUG